RNAcentral lists this transfer RNA (75 nucleotides) under Clostridia bacterium. RNAcentral describes it as "tRNA-Glu". It matches the Rfam family "tRNA". From Rfam's summary of the family: Transfer RNA (tRNA) molecules are approximately 80 nucleotides in length. Their secondary structure includes four short double-helical elements and three loops (D, anti-codon, and T loops). Lineage: Bacteria; Bacillati; Bacillota; Clostridia. The record is from RNAcentral.
GGCCCGUUAGUCAAGCGGUCAAGACGUUGGCCUCUCACGCCGAAGACAGGAGUUCGAUUCUCCUACGGGUCACCA